RNAcentral lists this long non-coding RNA (728 nucleotides) under Mytilus galloprovincialis (Mediterranean mussel). Lineage: Eukaryota; Metazoa; Mollusca; Bivalvia; Mytilida; Mytilidae. The record is from RNAcentral.
GUCUUGCUGAUUUGAGGAAGUCGUCUGGAUCAAUAGCAGGUACCAGCCCCUCAACCACCUUGUACAUAAAAUAUAAGCUUUUGGCUCGUGCGUCUCAAUUGUAGUUCCUGUAGUUUCUAAUUUUGUAAGCAUGUUUGUUAUGCAGCCAUCUUCUCUAGUUCUGUAAUUGCCUGUUAUAAAGCGUGCUGCUUGUCUUUGUAUUCUUUCUAGCUUGUUUGAGUCUGCAAUACUGUAGGGGUCCCAUACUGUUGCUGCAUAUUCCAUUGUAGAUCUUACUAAGGAAAUGUAAGCAGUUUUCUUACAUUCCUGUGGGCAGUAUCGUAAAUUUCUUCUGAGGAAGCCUAGGGUUGAGUUAGCCUUUUUGGCAACGUUUGUUAUAUGCGUGCUCCACUUCAGGUCUUCUGAUAUCUGCACUCCUAGGUAUGGGUUGCUCUGAACUUGUUGGAGUAUGUGGCCGUUGAGUGUAUAGAAUCUCUGGCUUUUGUUCUUUAUGCUUAGUAUGUAGCAUUUCUUUGCGUUAAAUCGCAUACCCCAUUUAUUUGCCCAAUCUUCUAGGCUAGCUAGGUCUUCUUGUAGCAGUUUGUGAUCUUUCUCUGUUUUGAUGGUUCUGUAUAAUAGACAGUCAUCGGCGAACAGCCGUACUGAUGAUUUGACAGUGUCCGGGAGGUCAUUUAUAUGACAUAGGAAAAGUAAUGGUCCUAGAACUGUUCCCUGUGGAACACCUGAGU